AGGGAGGGUUUUCAAACAGGGCUGUUAGGACACAUGAGGGCAAGCUUCCCGCAGUUUUUAAAAACCAGAGCAGCCUUGAGCCUUGACUUCCAGAUCCUGGACUCUUGUGUCUGAAAAACAGCAGUUUGAGACAGACACCACAUACUCAGGGAUACUUCAGGCCACCACAGUGGUCUCUGUUUUCUUCCUGUUUCUGGUGUCAACACCAGUCCCAGGAGUGGGCAAAGGCCCUGUGCCUGGGCUGAGAAACUGGAUAUGCGUCAGACAUUGCAAUUUCCCUGGGAAACAGAAAAUAUUUUCUCCACUCUAUGGAUGAGGAAAUUGAAGCAAAGGGAGAAAACAUCUGAGAUUUUCCAAAGAGAAGGAAGAGCCAAGAGCUGUGAGGUUAAGGCGUAUAGCUGAGCGCUGUUCCCUGGCUCUGGAUGGGACAUCCCAGCUCCUUUCGGGAGCCCAGCAGCUCUGGAGAUGGGAGAAACACAAGUUGCUAAGGACAAGAAGUGGGAUACAGUUUACACCACACAACCACACAUAUGGAUCCCAUCAUCUGCUCAAACAGAAAGCAUUAGGCCUUGCUGGGUAAGUGAGAUAGGAAAAGAGGACCAGGGUGGGGGUUACUCAUCAUUUUCCCAACUAGAGAUUCAUGUCCCUUUUGGAAAGGGGAAGAAAGCCCUGGCUGCAGCUCCGUUUUGAGUAAUAUUCGCCACUGAGGAGCUGUGUGCAGACACUCUGGGCAGAAGCCCUUGGGAGCUCUUCCGAUUGGGCACUUGCCAGUCCUUGGAAAGGGCUGAGAAACAGGCAGGAUGCUUGUCACAGUGCUCUAAUCCCCCUACCUGAAGCUCAUUUCAAACUGAUAGCAGGAUUGGAGACUAACUACACAUCACUAUGUCAAGGGCACAACACAUAGUCAACAAUGGCAGGUGACCUCUGAUGACCCUUGUCCUUAACUAUAUUUUUGAUACUUUUCUGCAAUUAAAAUGGAUUGCUGGUCUGGGACGUGAAGCAUGCCAGAGGUUCUGGCUUCUACUUCCAGCAUGGGACACAAAAUAAAACUGCCUGUGAAACAAAGACGGAAAGAACCUCAAUCCAAAGUGCAGAAGAAAUAACUUGAAGAGUGAGGAGAGAGCCAGCACUUAUCUUACUUAGCUGACUCACUGGCCAAAGGAAGACCCGGAGGCGGACAGAGGCAGAAGCACCUAACUUGGGGUCACUCAGCAGGCGAGGCAGUGAACAGAGCCAGGACCCUGGGAAUCCCCCACUGAGGCCACUGAAUGCCAGAGGCUGGGAAAGUCCCUACACUCCAGGCGGAGAUCCUGUCACUGCUGUUGCUAACCCUACUCUACUGAACUGGACUGCUGCUGUAUCUGUGAAAUGUCUGCAAUAGGAUGGAGCUGCCACUGCUGACCUGUGAACUGAACUGCCGAUUUCCAGACAACACAGACGGGAGUUGCUCCAAAGAACCUUUCUAAACAGGUUCACUUCCCCCAUAUCUUUCUCCCGCACUACUUCUGGACAGUCGUCCCCAACAUCUCAGAAGUUGUCUUACAAUCCAUCAGCAGGAGCCCCUCCACACGGUCAUCACCAGAAUGAGAAUAUCAUUAGCCUUGCUCAUCACUAAUUAAAACCUCAGGAUCAGGUUUCUGGGUACGUCUUGGUACAUCUGUGCAGGGCACGCACCCCAGAUGGUAGGCAAGCCAGGUUUGAGGCCUGCUUCCUCCCAAGAGGAUGUCACAGAUGCUGUGGGUGACCGCACCAUGCAGCAAGAACAAGCUUAGUCUUGCACACUGCCCCCCAGGUGAGCAUGCUCAGGAAUUCUGCCCCCCUCAGAAAUAGUCCCACACUUCACUCUGCAGUCACCUCAGAAGCUUCUGGCCAACCUCUGGGCUCCAGAGACAAAGCUACGCCUAUGGAAACACUGGGAGAUGUCUGGAUUCAUUAAAGGAAAACAGCAUUCCCAGUGUAAAUCCUCCACUGUCCUGUAGAAGAGACUAGAAAGUUCUAGAGUGAUGAACAGCAAGUGACCAGCUGAUGUCAUCAGAUGGCAGUGACUUUCUCACUGCAGCCUGUCUAGUCAGUGCCCCAAAAUUGCUUUAGGGUGAGAGCAUCCCCUCUCUAGGAAGCCAGCAAGAAAAAGAGGACGGUGAUAAAGACUGAACUCUACAUACUACGUUCAGUUUCUUUUGGAAUCUUGUACAUAAUGCACAUGCGCGUGUGCGUGUGUGUGUGUGUGUGUGUGUGUGUUUGUG
Mus musculus (house mouse) is the source of this 2243-nucleotide long non-coding RNA. RefSeq annotates it as predicted gene, 52917. NCBI's taxonomy places the organism in Eukaryota, Metazoa, Chordata, Mammalia, Rodentia, Muridae. The record is from RefSeq and is a predicted model, not a curated record. The transcript has 3 exons.